This 31-nucleotide non-coding RNA is filed under the name Homo sapiens (human). The record is from RNAcentral. Lineage: Eukaryota; Metazoa; Chordata; Mammalia; Primates; Hominidae.
UGACCACUGGCUCCCGGAAAGGGUGAGUGUC